GGCGCACGGGUGAGUAACACGUAGCUAACCUACCCUCGAGAGGGGGAUAACCACUGGAAACAGUGGCUAAUACCCUAUAAGCUCCCGAUCUGUAGAGGAUUGAGAGAAAAGCUCAGGUGCUUGGGGAUGGGGCUGCGAGCCAUCAGCUAGUUGGUGAGGUAAGAGCUUACCAAGGCGGCGACGGCUAGGGGACCUGAGAGGGUGACCCCCCACACUGGAACUGAGACACGGUCCAGACUCCUACGGGAGGCAGCAGUGAGGAAUAUUGCUCAAUGGGCGCAAGCCUGAAGCAGCGACGCCGCGUGGGUGAAGAAGGAUUUCGGUCUGUAAAGCCCUUUUCUGCGUGACGAGAGUGGACGGUAGCGCAGGAAUAAGUCUCGGCUAACUACGUGCCAGCAGCCGCGGUAAAACGUAGGAGGCAAGCGUUAUCCGGAGUUACUGGGCGUAAAGCGCGUGCAGGCGGUUCAGUAAGUUACCUAUGAAAGCUCCUGGCUAAACUGGGAGAGGUUGGGUGAUACUGCUGGACUAGAGUG
This 533-nucleotide ribosomal RNA is filed under the name uncultured Bacillota bacterium. Its description in RNAcentral is "bacterial SSU rRNA". It matches the Rfam family "Bacterial small subunit ribosomal RNA", at positions 97 to 648 of the family's 1533-position model. The record is from RNAcentral. Lineage: Bacteria; Bacillati; Bacillota.